GGAGGCGUGCCUGAGCUUAAAGGACUACCUUGAUAGAGUAGACACGGAUCUAGACAACACUCCCGCCUCUU
RNAcentral lists this transfer RNA (71 nucleotides) under Orientocoluber spinalis (Slender racer). Its description in RNAcentral is "tRNA-Ile". Lineage: Eukaryota; Metazoa; Chordata; Lepidosauria; Squamata; Colubridae. The record is from RNAcentral.